This is a long non-coding RNA of Scatophagus argus, 1029 nucleotides long. RefSeq lists it as uncharacterized. NCBI's taxonomy places the organism in Eukaryota, Metazoa, Chordata, Actinopteri, Scatophagidae. The record is from RefSeq and is a predicted model, not a curated record. The transcript has 2 exons.
UCCGUUCCAGCGAGUUCAGGCCCUUCUCCAGGUCCUGCAGGGCCUCUUCGGCCUGCUUCAGUCUCUUCUCCAGCUCCACCCGAGACUCUAUCUCCGCCUGAGACGCCCACGAGAAACACAGGACGAAAUGUAAUGUGAUAUGAGCUCUUUGUGCCAGAGAGACUCUGCAGUCAGACCAGGAGGAAAAGAUGACGAGGAGGAGGAUGUGCUGCUGAUCCACCAUGAAGAUUUCACAGACCAGAUUUUAAAAAAAACCUGACCGUCUUACUGAAGUAAAAGUACAUCAGAGUUACUGUGACAUGCUGGGCUGUUGUUACCAGUAAGGAAAGUGAGGUCAUGCCGUCUGUAUUUUUGUCUCUUUAUGGGGUUUUACUUAAAAACUUGCACAUGGAGGUCAUAUAUAACACUAAGUAAUUCGACUCAACAACAAUCUAUAAACUACAGGAUUCCUUUGUGGACUGUGAAAAGGUUGAAUCAAAGUUCAUCUUGUUGUAUUUUUUCCUCAUUUUUCAACACCUCAGAGCCAGAUUAAUUAAAACUGUUGCCUCAGCCGAUACUCUUUUCAUUCCUUUAUCGUCCUGAAUGUAUUUGAAAACAAGCAGCAGCUGACUGACGUGGUGACCUUUGACCCGACUCCUGCUGCGCAGACUGCGAGCCGCGAGCAGCUGAGUCAUGUCGUGUUACCUUGAGCUCGGCCUCAGUCUGCUGCUUGUCCGCCGUGAGCUGGGAGAGCGACUGCUGCAGCGUCCGAGCCUGAGUCGAGUAGUACUCCCUCUCCUGCUGCAGGAUUUUAGCCCGCUGCUCGUUCUCCCUGAGCCUGAGAGACAGAAACGCCGUCAAACAGGGAAAAGACUGCACGCACACACAGAAGAAACAUCAUCUGAAAAUGUGAAUUUCUCAGAUUGUGGCAGUUUAAAUGUUUUGGGUGUUUUUUCUUGGAAAAUCAAAAGCUGUGGAUUUUCAGACAUUAAUGCUUCUGUAAAAGAUGUUCUUCACUGUCAGGACUGCACAGACAAUAAAAAUGCUGCC